Non-coding RNA from Salmo salar (Atlantic salmon), 890 nucleotides. The record is from RefSeq and is a predicted model, not a curated record. Lineage: Eukaryota; Metazoa; Chordata; Actinopteri; Salmoniformes; Salmonidae.
GGAGGCAGCUGUCUAUCGUUGCCUCUGAUUGAAGGUCCUAUAGAUAGGAAUGUGUUUGUCAUGGGAUUUUGUGGGAGAUUGUUUCUUGUUUUGUUGUGUGCCUGACGAGAAUGUCUAGUUCUUUUUUUUUUUGUAUACGUUGUUUGUGUUUUCCUUCUUCACUAAUAAAAAGAAGAUGAGUAUACAUUUUCCCGCUGCAUUUUGGUCUACACCCUACGACAUCCGUGACAGUGAUUAAUUAUACACAUAUUUCUGGACAUCAAGAAGCUGGACUUCGUUAUAUCUGCAGCCGAGACGUUUUGGGGCUCCAAGACUUCACGGCAGAACCACUGCAAGGACUAUUGGCGCUAGGAAAUGUUGUUUUGCAGUGUUAGCUGGCUAACGACAUGGAGCAGCUAAAGCCUCCAACAGAACUGAAACUUAACGACAACGUUGAAGAACAAUGGAAGCAGUUCAAGCAGCGUUUCACCCUCUAUCUGAUGGCGAUAGGAGCGGCUGAAAAAGACGACGCACAGAAGGUCGCACUGUUUCUGACAGUACCUGGCUUGGAUGCCAUUGAUGUCUACAACAGCUUUCAGAUAACAGAUCAGGAGCAAGCAGAUUAGCCAAAUGUCUGUAUUUUUGUACUCCCAGAAGAAACUAAACAUUCGAGAGUUACUGCUCUGUCUCUGGCUCCUGUUUCCUGUUCCACAUCUCACCAUCCAACUACAUUGCUCUGGAUUUUACUCACCACCACUACCUUGGAUUCCCCUCAGGAUCUGUUUACCCUGCUCUACUCAGCUAACUCCAACCUCCGUCUCCACAUCAGUUUUUUUUCUGAAACUCAUCCGAGCUUCCCCGGAUCUGUACUCCAUAUCUCUCUGUGUUAACAAUAAAUAUUUUGGUUCAUU